RNAcentral lists this small RNA (202 nucleotides) under Chrysemys picta bellii (western painted turtle). RNAcentral's name for it is "TUC338 (ENSCPBG00000012104.1)". Lineage: Eukaryota; Metazoa; Chordata; Testudines; Emydidae. The record is from RNAcentral.
UUGACAGCCCUGGAUACUGCAGGCCUCUGUUUACCUGCAGAGCAGCUACAACACAAGCUGUGGCAGGGCAACCUUCCCACACUGCCCCCAGCCAAUGGGCCUUAGCUCCGACCAGGGUCUCUCUGUGGAGACUGCCAAGGAGCAUGAACGUUAGCGCUGGUUCCUGUGAUGUGGACGUCUGGCACCUCACAGCAUUACUCGG